RNAcentral lists this ribosomal RNA (428 nucleotides) under uncultured Bacillota bacterium. RNAcentral's name for it is "bacterial SSU rRNA". It matches the Rfam family "Bacterial small subunit ribosomal RNA", at positions 958 to 1385 of the family's 1533-position model. Lineage: Bacteria; Bacillati; Bacillota. The record is from RNAcentral.
AACGCGAAGAACCUUACCAGGUCUUGACAUCCCAAUGACCGCUCUAGAGAUAGAGUUUUCCCUUCGGGGACAUUGGUGACAGGUGGUGCAUGGUUGUCGUCAGCUCGUGUCGUGAGAUGUUGGGUUAAGUCCCGCAACGAGCGCAACCCUUGAUCUUAGUUGCCAUCAUUUAGUUGGGCACUCUAAGGUGACUGCCGGUGACAAACCGGAGGAAGGUGGGGAUGACGUCAAAUCAUCAUGCCCCUUAUGACCUGGGCUACACACGUGCUACAAUGGACGAUACAAAGAGUCGCUAACUCGCGAGGGUAUGCUAAUCUCAUAAAAUCGUUCUCAGUUCGGAUUGUAGGCUGCAACUCGCCUACAUGAAGCCGGAAUCGCUAGUAAUCGUGGAUCAGCAUGCCACGGUGAAUACGUUCCCGGGCCUUGUA